Molecule: ribosomal RNA, 207 nt
Filed under: uncultured bacterium
Lineage: Bacteria
Description: partial 16S ribosomal RNA
Rfam family: Bacterial small subunit ribosomal RNA
Source: RNAcentral
UGCGUAGGCGGCUUUCUAAGUUGGAUGUGAAAACUCUGGGCUCAACCCAGAGCCUGCAUCCAAAACUGGAGAGCUAGGGUUCUGGAGGGGAAAGCGGAAUUCCUGGUGUAGCGGUGAAAUGCGUAGAUAUCAGGAGGAACACCGGUGGCGAAGGCGGCUUUCUGGACAGAUACCGACGCUGAGGCACGAAAGCUAGGGAGGCAAACA